AACGAACGCUGGCGGCAUGCCUAACACAUGCAAGUCGAACGAGACCUUCGGGUCUAGUGGCGCACGGGUGCGUAACGCGUGGGAACCUGCCCUUAGGUUCGGAAUAACUCCCCGAAAGGGGUGCUAAUACCGGAUAAUGUCUUCGGACCAAAGAUUUAUCGCCUUUGGAUGGGCCCGCGUUGGAUUAGCUUGUUGGUAGGGUAAAAGCCUACCAAGGCGACGAUCCAUAGCUGGUCUGAGAGGAUGAUCAGCCACACUGGGACUGAGACACGGCCCAGACUCCUACGGGAGGCAGCAGUGGGGAAUAUUGGACAAUGGGCGAAAGCCUGAUGCAGCAAUGCCGCGUGAGUGAUGAAGGCCUUAGGGUUGUAAAGCUCUUUUACCCGGGAUGAUAAUGACAGUACCGGGAGAAUAAGCUCCGGCUAACUCCGUG
RNAcentral lists this ribosomal RNA (433 nucleotides) under uncultured bacterium. Its description in RNAcentral is "partial 16S ribosomal RNA". It matches the Rfam family "Bacterial small subunit ribosomal RNA", at positions 29 to 507 of the family's 1533-position model. The record is from RNAcentral.